Molecule: ribosomal RNA, 498 nt
Filed under: uncultured bacterium
Lineage: Bacteria
Description: partial 16S ribosomal RNA
Rfam family: Bacterial small subunit ribosomal RNA
Source: RNAcentral
GACGAACGCUGGCGGCGUGCCUAAUACAUGCAAGUCGAGCGGACGAAUCGAAAGCUUGCUUUUGAUUCGUUAGCGGCGGACGGGUGAGUAACACGUGGGCAACCUGCCCUGUAGACGGGGAUAACACCGAGAAAUCGGUGCUAAUACCGGAUAACACGAAAUGUCGCAUGACGUUUCGUUGAAAGACGGCGCAAGCUGCCGCUACAGGAUGGGCCCGCGGCGCAUUAGCUAGUUGGUGAGGUAACGGCUCACCAAGGCGACGAUACGUAGCCGACCUGAGAGGGUGAUCGGCCACACUGGGACUGAGACACGGCCCAGACUCCUACGGGAGGCAGCAGUAGGGAAUCUUCCGCAAAGGACGAAAGUCUGACGGAGCAACGCCGCGUGAGCGAAGAAGGCCUUCGGGUCGUAAAGCUCUGUUGUUAGGGAAGAACAAGUAACGCAGUAACUGGCGUUACCGUGACGGUACCUAACGAGAAAGCCACGGCUAACUACGUG